AAGUCGUAACAAGGUUUCAGUAGGUGAACCUGCGGAAGGAUCAUUAACACGUAUCCAAACGUUAAAACCCCCCCCGUGAACCUUCAUCCUGCUCUUGUAACCCGCGUAGUUCGCAAUCUCUGAUAAAUCAUAGCCCGGAAAGUUGUAGUGAUUCAGAGACCUCUGGCUGCGUGCGAACAUUGGAACAGUUACAAUCGAGUUUAAUGUGAAGCUCAGUGUAAUACAUUGGGUAAAAAAACCGAACAACUGUUAACAAUGGAUAUCUUGGUUCUC
This 273-nucleotide unclassified non-coding RNA is filed under the name fungal sp. RNAcentral's name for it is "partial internal transcribed spacer region". The stretch from base 1 to 46 matches the Rfam family "Eukaryotic small subunit ribosomal RNA", at positions 1786 to 1831 of the family's 1831-position model. Lineage: Eukaryota; Fungi. The record is from RNAcentral.